RNAcentral lists this ribosomal RNA (508 nucleotides) under uncultured bacterium. RNAcentral's name for it is "bacterial SSU rRNA". It matches the Rfam family "Bacterial small subunit ribosomal RNA", at positions 19 to 518 of the family's 1533-position model. The record is from RNAcentral.
AUGGCUCAGGAUGAACGCUAGCGGCAGGCUUAACACAUGCAAGUCGAGGGGCAGCGGGAUGUAGCAAUACAUUGCCGGCGACCGGCGGAUGGGUGCGUAACGCGUAUGCAACCUACCUAUACAGGGGAAUAACCUUUCGAAAGGGAGACUAACACCCCAUGGUAUUGAUUUAAGGCAUCUUAGAUUAAUUAAAUAUUUAUAGGUAUAAGAUGGGCAUGCGUAUGAUUAGCUAGUUGGUAAGGUAACGGCUUACCAAGGCGACGAUCAUUAGGGGUUCUGAGAGGAAGGUCCCCCCACACUGGUACUGAGACACGGACCAGACUCCUACGGGAGGCAGCAGUGAGGAAUAUUGGUCAAUGGGCGCAAGCCUGAACCAGCCAUGCCGCGUGCAGGAAAAGACGGCCUUAUGGGUUGUAAACUGCUUUUACAUAAGACUAACCGUAUAUUUGCGAAUAUACCUGAAUGUAUUAUGAGAAUAAGGAUCGGCUAACUCCGUGCCAGCCGCAGC